RNAcentral lists this ribosomal RNA (546 nucleotides) under uncultured bacterium. Its description in RNAcentral is "bacterial SSU rRNA". It matches the Rfam family "Bacterial small subunit ribosomal RNA", at positions 356 to 896 of the family's 1533-position model. The record is from RNAcentral.
UAGGGAAUUUCGGCAAUGGGGGGAAUGACCGAGCAACGCCGCUUGAGUGAAGAAGGUUUUCGGAUCGUAAAGCUCUGUUGUUAAGGAAGAACGAGUGUGAGAAUGGAAAGUUCAUACUGUGACGGUACUUAACCAGAAAGGGACGGCUAACUACGUGCCAGCAGCCGCGGUAAUACGUAGGUCCCGAGCGUUGUCCGGAUUUAUUGGGCGUAAAGCGAGCGCAGGCGGUUAGAUAAGUCUGAAGUUAAAGGCAGUGGCUCAACCAUUGUAGGCUUUGGAAACUGUUUAACUUGAGUGCAGAAGGGGAGAGUGGAAUUCCAUGUGUAGCGGUGAAAUGCGUAGAUAUAUGGAGGAACACCGGUGGCGAAAGCGGCUCUCUGGUCUGUAACUGACGCUGAGGCUCGAAAGCGUGGGGAGCGAACAGGAUUAGAUACCCUGGUAGUCCACGCCGUAAACGAUGAGUGCUAGGUGUUAGGUCCUUUCCGGGACUUAGUGCCGCAGCUAACGCAUUAAGCACUCCGCCUGGGGAGUACGACCGCAAGGUUG